RNAcentral lists this unclassified non-coding RNA (403 nucleotides) under soil metagenome. RNAcentral describes it as "partial contains 5.8S ribosomal RNA, internal transcribed spacer 2, and large subunit ribosomal RNA". The stretch from base 1 to 120 matches the Rfam family "5.8S ribosomal RNA", at positions 35 to 154 of the family's 154-position model. The record is from RNAcentral.
GAUGAAUAACGCAGCGAAAUGCGAUAAGUAAUGUGAAUUGCAGAAUUCAGUGAAUCAUCGAAUCUUUGAACGCACCUUGCGCCCUUUGGACUUCUGAAGGGCAUGCCUGUUUGAGUAUCAUGAACACCUCAACUCCUUAUGGUCUUCCAUGAUGAGCUUGGACUUUGGGGGUUUUGCUGGCCUACAGUCAGCUCCUCUAAAAUAAAUCAGCUUACCGGUGUUUGGUGGGUAUCAUGGGUGUGAUAACUAUCUACGCUCGUGGUUUUCCACCAGGUAACCUUCAGCAGUGGAGGUUCACUGGAGCUCAUAGAUGUCUCUCCUCAGCGAGGACAGCCCUUUGAAUGUUUGAUCUCAAAUCAGGUAGGACUACCCGCUGAACUUAAGCAUAUCAAUACGCGGAGGA